CAAAAUUGCAGCUUUUUCUGACGUCUUUCAUCUUCCCCAAACUCAAUAUGUCUCUCUGCAAAAGCUCACUCAUUACCAACAAUGGCUCGUACAAAGAUGUCAUCUCAAAAAAACCCUUUCCCUAACACGCCCUCGUGUUCAUCAUCUCCACCAUCUUCGUCGUUCCUCACUCGAUCACCUUCGCCACCACUUAGACCCGCUCUUAUAGAAGAAUCAUUAGAAAAUACAUUUUCGG
This 235-nucleotide long non-coding RNA is filed under the name Cicer arietinum (chickpea). RNAcentral's name for it is "long non-coding RNA (CARI_LNC000412)". Lineage: Eukaryota; Viridiplantae; Streptophyta; Magnoliopsida; Fabales; Fabaceae. The record is from RNAcentral.